RNAcentral lists this ribosomal RNA (443 nucleotides) under uncultured bacterium. Its description in RNAcentral is "partial 16S ribosomal RNA". It matches the Rfam family "Bacterial small subunit ribosomal RNA", at positions 338 to 795 of the family's 1533-position model. The record is from RNAcentral.
CCUACGGGUGGCAGCAGUGGGGGAUAUUGCACAAUGGGGGAAACCCUGAUGCAGCGACGCCGCGUGAGUGAAGAAGUAUUUCGGUAUGUAAACUUCUUUUCUGAGGGACGAAGAAAGUGACGGUACCUCAGGAAUAAGCCACGGCUAACUACGUGCCAGCAGCCGCGGUAAUACGUAGGUGGCAAGCGUUAUCCGGAUUUAUUGGGUGUAAAGGGCGUGUAGGCGGGAAAGCAAGUCAGAUGUGAAAACUCAGGGCUCAACCCUGAGCCUGCAUUUGAAACUGUUUUUCUUGAGUGCUGGAGAGGCAAUCGGAAUUCCGUGUGUAGCGGUGAAAUGCGUAGAUAGACGGAGGAACACCAGUGGCGAAGGCGGAUUGCUGGACAGUAACUGACGCUGAGGCGCGAAAGCGUGGGGAGCAAACAGGAUUAGAUACCCCUGUAGUC